Long non-coding RNA from Gasterosteus aculeatus aculeatus (three-spined stickleback), 851 nucleotides. NCBI's taxonomy places the organism in Eukaryota, Metazoa, Chordata, Actinopteri, Perciformes, Gasterosteidae. The record is from Ensembl.
GAAGAUGGCGGGUAAAGGAGGAUAUGUGGAAAUACCAGUGUUGGGGGUGGGGGAUGCAAUUGCUAUGACGGAUUGACCGUGGGCCCCCCAAUUAACAAAAUGGAAGAAAUUUUGAAAACCCUUAUUGCUGGCCAGCAAUCCCAGAUGCAAACCAAUUUGGCUCUCUUGGAAGAACAAAAGAAAGCCAACCUUCUGAAGGCGGAGGAAUUACAGUUGCAGAAACAGAUGGCCAACUGGAAUGUACACCCAAUAAAGACCCAGAGGACUGCUGGACAUUACGAAGGAAGCCUGGGAGGAGCAGCCAUGCCAACAGCGGACCCUGAUCGAGCAUGUCGGGGCCAUGAGGGCGAGAAUGAAGGCCAUCUAUCCCAUGAUCCAGGGAGACACGGCAACAGCAAGCCACCUACAACCGGUCGGCGCAACCCAGAGUGUUUUAGCCGGGCGACAAAGUGCUGGUCCUGGUGCCAACCACAGAGUGUAAAUUACUGGCUACUUGGCAAGGACCAUAUGAGGUCAUGGACGUGUGGGAGAAGUAAACUACAAGGUAAGGCAACCUGGAAAAAGAACCUGAGCAAAUUUAUCACGUUAACCUCUUAAAGAAGUGGCACGCCAUGGAGGUGCUGUUCAGCUGUCCAAGGAACCGGUGCGAGAAGAGGUGCAGGUGGGUCCCGGCCUGUCCCCCAUCAACGGCAGUUGGCCCGGGAACUGGUGGACCGUAACCCGGAUGUUUUCUCCUCUCUUCCCGGGCACACGGCGGUGACCCAGCACGAGAUACGCACCGUGCCGGGCAAAACGGUGAACCAGCACCGUACCGUGUGCCGGAGGCUCAUAAGGGGGCCAUUCAGGAGGAG